Molecule: long non-coding RNA, 684 nt
Organism: Cloeon dipterum
Lineage: Eukaryota; Metazoa; Arthropoda; Insecta; Ephemeroptera; Baetidae
Exons: 3
Source: RefSeq, a predicted model, not a curated record
UGCAAGCAGUGUUGAGAAGAACUUGAUUUGGUUCGGAUAUGGAGUCUGCUGGCGCCAUGUCAGACAGCUUGGAUAAGUGGAAAAUAUUUCAGGACCUGAGCGACGAACUAAAGCGGAAUAUCAGGCUCGCAGUCGUAAAUGAUGGUAGCGCAAUUUACGUGACGAAAGAUGACGAAGUUUUCGGCUUUGGGAAAAACCAAACAGGAUUUCUUGGUACUGGCGACAAGGAACCACGCAGAGAGCACACAAAAAUUGAACAAUUGUGCGGACAAAAUAUUCAAGGUGAAAAGCUAUAGUAGACAAUAUAAUGCGACUCGCAAAUAAAACGUUUUAUGUUUUCUUCAGAUUUGCAAUUCUCAUAUUAUACGAUUUUUGCGAUUUCUGCUAACGGCUCAGUUUACGCAUGGGGAAGCAAUGGUAAUGGACAGCUUGGACUGGGUACGAAAAAAGACACCUUGAUCCCAACCAAAAUACAAGGAAUUUUGGCAACCAAAAGAGUUGUUCAAGUUGCCUGCAGCUAUUAUUACCAUACUCUGGCUUUAACCUCGGAAAGAGAGGUCUUCUCCUUUGGUCGUAACGAUUUCGGGCAGUUGGGACUGGGACGCAAAAGAGACCAAACUCUUCCAAUAAAAUUGGACGUUUCUGCAGCUGGGGGAGUUGUGACCGCCAUCGCAUGUGUAUAUA